RNAcentral lists this long non-coding RNA (957 nucleotides) under Homo sapiens (human). RNAcentral describes it as "long non-coding RNA NONHSAT149038.1". Lineage: Eukaryota; Metazoa; Chordata; Mammalia; Primates; Hominidae. The record is from RNAcentral.
AAGAAAAUGCACUUGAGAAUCUCCCUUUUCCCACCCUUUUUCCUCAAAGCAAAAUCAGUAAUUUCAACAGUUUCCCAUUUUCAAAAGGUGAAAAAGCAGAAUGAUGGCCAGGCGAGUUCUCUGGCUAGGAAGAAGCCCAGCUGGUAUACACCAUUUUUCUGCACUUCCCCUGGGCAGCCAGAUGACUAGGAUUCAAGGACCAGCCUACCACUUUCUAAGCUGUUUGCCUUGGACAAAUGACUUAUUGCCUCUGAACUUCACUUUACUCACCUGUAAAAUGAGGAGACUCCAGAAGAAUGAGAAGAUUCCAUGAGAUGACUCUAGCAGAUCCAUUUCAGAAAAUACUCUGCGUGUGAAGUUAUUACAAGGAACUUGGCAGGCACACUCCCCUUCACCUAUGGGGCUUUUCUUUUUUCUUCCAUGAGAGCUUCUACCCAGAUAUGCAGAUAGAAGAAAUGUAUUGGUCCCAAAGACAACAAUGUCUGUGAAGCAGGAUUCAAAGAGAUGAAGGGAGGGGAGAACAAGCCUUUCAAAUUAUAGCAAGUGGGUGGUCUUCAACUGCUUUUACUUCUUUUUAAAAUUCCAGAUCAUACUGGGGUAACCUAUUAGAAAGAACCCUGUCCUGGAAUCCUGGAAAAGAGGCCCUGCUAGGAGCUGACCUUGGACAAAUCACUCCCUUCUCUGAACCUCACUGUUCAGGGGGCUGAGAACAGAGGGUCCCUAAGGAAGAGUGUUGUAUGAGAACAGUCUCCGCUCUUGACCCAAGCAAACCUGGCUUCAAAUCUCAACUCCUGUGGCUGACUAGCUGUAUGACCUUGACCUUUCUCAGUUUCCUCAUCUAUAAAGCAGGAUUAAUAAAAGGUACCUAUCUAAUAUGACUGUUCUGAGAAUAAAAUGAAAUAAACUACAUAGGUGAUUUGACAUUGUGCUUGGUUUACAGUAGGUGUUUAAUAAAAG